Molecule: ribosomal RNA, 564 nt
Filed under: uncultured marine eukaryote
Lineage: Eukaryota
Description: SSU rRNA
Rfam family: Eukaryotic small subunit ribosomal RNA
Source: RNAcentral
AACCUGGUUGAUCCUGCCAGUAGUCAUAUGCUUGUCUCAAAGAUUAAGCCAUGCAUGUAUAAGUAUAAAUUUGUUUAUGGUGAAACUGCGAAUGGCUCAUUACAACGGUUAUAGUUUACUUGAGAUAUCACUACUGGAUACCCGUAGUAACUCUAGAGCUAAUACAUUCCUCGGGACUUAAGUCUCGUGUUUAUUAGAUGUCACCGAACAGGUCUCGGCCUGUAGGGGAGUCAUGAUAAAUCAACGAAUCGUGUUUACGAUGCUUCAAACAAGUUUCUGCCCCAUCAGCCUGGAUGGUUGUGUAUUGGACUACCAUCGCAGUUACGGGUAACGAGGAAUUAGGGUUCGAUUUCGGAGAGGGAGUCUGAGAAACGGCUACCACAUCUACGGAAGGCAGCAGGCGCGCAAAUUACCCAAUGUAAAUAAGUAUGAGGUAGUGACAAGAAAUACUAACGUGAGGCGAAAGUCUUGCGAUUAGAAUGGACUAAAUUUAAACAAUUUAGUGACGAGCAACUGGAGGGCAAGUCUGGUGCCAGCAGCCGCGGUAAUACCAGCUCCAGUAGC